UUUAUAAAACCCAUUUAGUCUCACAAUUUUUUUGUGUGGUAAAACAUAAACUGAAACAUUAUGUAUAUCCAAGAUUGAAGAAGAAAUUUAAGUUAAAUUAGAUGGACAUCCAAUACUAGGGGUGAUGUUGUCAAGGUUGUAACCAUAUCAGUAGUCGAUUUUAUAAAUAAAGUGAAAUACAAGACUAACCCAACAGGUAUCAUAAAGUAAUGUAGAACUACUUUUUUCUCUCUCUCGGUACUCUCUAUCAUUCCUCACUUGGCAAAAAAUGAUAGAUUAUCCCUCAUGAUGUGUUUUCCAUGUUUGAAUAUUUUGUUCAUUCAGUGUCAAAUGUUUUCUUUUUGUGUAUCAGAAUAUCUCAGUAACUCAUUGUUUUUUCUUUCCUGUAGGUGGUACAAUAGUUCUAUCCGAUGAUGGUCGCUUUUUUCAAAGUCAAAGGAUGCUGUGGAAUUUCAAGAUUGAAAACCGCUGGCUUUCAAUCUUUUAAAACAAAUUACCUUUGUAAGGUAUCAAAACUAUAAUUUUUCUAUAGCAAAUAAAUUUUUUUCCUUCACUAUGGUAAUUUUGUUUAGAUUAAUUAAUGUUACACUGAUACUAACUCAAAUUUAUACACUGCUAUAAGAUCAAUUUGUAAUCCCGCAGCAACGCGCGGGCAUUACUAGCUAGUUUAUGUGCUAUGGCUAAACUUUGUAUCAUAUAUUUAUUGUCACAUCCUGGCCCGGACUCCCACCAUAUCACGGGCUCGACUCCGCCGUAUAUUGUCUGCUUUGGGUCUCGACCAUGCCCUAUCCGAUGAUGGUCGCUUUUUUCAAAGUCAAAGGAUGCUGUGGAAUUUCAAGAUUGAAAACCGCUGGCUUUCAAUCUUUUAAAACAAAUUACCUUUGUAAGGUAUCAAAACUAUAAUUUUUCUAUAGCAAAUAAAUUUUUUUCCUUCACUAUGGUAAUUUUGUUUAGAUUAAUUAAUGUUACACUGAUACUAACUCAAAUUUAUACACUGCUAUAAGAUCAAUUUGUA
Molecule: long non-coding RNA, 1015 nt
Filed under: Malus domestica (apple)
Lineage: Eukaryota; Viridiplantae; Streptophyta; Magnoliopsida; Rosales; Rosaceae
Description: long non-coding RNA (MDOM_LNC002528)
Source: RNAcentral